UAUUCCAUGGUCCAUAAUCCAUGUGAACAGAUGUACAAUGGGAAACAUCUUUGUUAUUCCAACCCUGGGGAAUUUCUUUCAUCAACCUGCAGCAGAGACCUUAAUGAGGCUGCGGUCUACCUGAAAAGGUUGUCCAAACACCGCAUGGAGCACCAGAAUUAGGAUGCUAAAGGCAGCCCCAUACAGUCUUGAUGCUCAGUACUUCCACCAUGGGCUCUGUCCACCCUGCUCUCUGCGUCGAGAUCCAGCCCUUCAAUUUUCACUAGGCAAAUUUGAGACCAGAAGUAAGGCCUUGCACACGGAAGGCUGCGACAGUAGUGGUUAAAAGAAUAAUAUGAUUAAAACCGUGGCAAAAUCCUCCUGCUUUCAAGAAACCCUAUCAGACUUGUUUCCAGUUUUUCCUGUUCUAUUAAGCACCUGUUGACUGGCCUUGGUGAUGGUGCCUGUUCACCACUGCUCGCCCGUUCCUGUAAGAGAAUCAUGCAAUCCCUGCACUUUGGCCUCUGGUCUUAUAAGCCACCUCAAAUAUCUCAUAAUAUGGAUGUAAAAUACUGAAAAUAACUUAGAACAUGUACGUUUCUCCAUCACAUGCGGUCAUCGGGAGCCGGGAAGCGGAAGCUCCUAUAUGUACUCAGAUCUAGAACCGUCACCGUGCUGUGGGACUCAGCCUCUCCCACUACGUUGGCUGCAUGGCACUGCUUCCAUCAAUUACAAAUCACGCUAUGGACCAUGCAGCGGGAUGUGCACACCAGCUCGUUUUAAACUCAUGCCAAUCGUGGGGAAAGGCGCCUCCUGAACCACAUAGAUGCUGGGAUGCUGCCUCCAGCAGAGCCCUAACUGGUGUUCUAGUGGCUCGCUGUGGUGACAAUCAGAAGGACCUGGAUACCAACGGGAGACUCAAUCAGUGUGGUUUACUUUUGUUCAUGUAAAGUCAAAUUUUAACUGAUUUCAUCAAUCCCUUCAGGCCUAAAUGAAUAAGCCACAAUCUCACCAACUGCCAGAUGGUGGUGCUACCCUAGGUUACCCAGCAUUAAAGGGUGCAGUGAAGAGGCAACGAGCCCAGCGCUCUGGCUCCAGAACCGAAGCUCUUCUGAACCACUGUGCUAACACCAUCCUGCCUUUUCCCUAGAAGACCCUUCCAGGUACACUACCCUUUAAUCCUCACGCCAGCCCUGUAAGAUAGCUGCUUGCACCCCCAUUUUACAGAUGAGAAAACCAAGACUCAGAAAGGUGAAGUGUGUGGAGGAACAGGGACUCAAACCCAGGCACCAUGAUUCCAUUCGCUUCCACACUGGUUUCUAAAGUGGAACAUUUUUUAUCUGUAUGGUCUCUGUUCCAGAAUAAGAGAUGAGUUGCUUAGGGAUUGUGUUGGGGGAUCCCCAAGACAACUCUCCAGUUCAGUGAUUUCCUAGGAAGACUAGGAGGACUCAGGGGACUCAGCAUACAGUGGCACUCAGGCUGUGAUUUAUUAUAGUGAAAGGAUUUUCCCAUCUGGCAAAAUCAGCCAAGGGAAAAAGUCAGGGUGGAGGAAGCAGGCACAAGCUUCCAAGAGCCCUCUCCGUGGAGUGACAACCAUGUGAAAUGCUGUCCACCGGAGAUGCUCAAGAGGGACUCGGUGCCCAGGGUUUCUAUUGGGAGCUGGCCAUAGAUGCACUCUCUGCCUAACUGAGUACCAAAAUUCCACACUCCGAGAAGGAAAGCAGGUGUUCAGCAUAAACCACAUUGUACAGUUCAGGCACAGUGAGCCACUCUCAUCAAUUCCGAGAAUAGUGGAAUCCCCUGAAAUCUAAGUCCCCAGAUACCAGCCAAGGGCCAACCUUGCCAGCAGGUCUUUCUGAGGAUAUGGUCACAGGCCUGCCACAUUAGCUGUUUUUUACACAACAAUGAAACACCCCAAACAUCACCCUCAGGGAACAGCUCUUGUGAAGAUACCCCAUAGCAUAAGCAAUGUAUCCUUGACACCAGCAGGACACUUCCAGUCCCUACUAUCUCCAGGGGCUCAUUCCAGCAUGGCACUGGAACGUUCAAUGUCAAGACUGCCACCUCAGGCAGGAAGAACAGCGUGGUGAGCAGGAGUGGAAGAGUCCAGGUUCAAAUCCUUUCUCUGCCAGGUCUCAGCCUUUGCCUCAGUUUCUUCUUCUUUAAAAGGGGCCCA
Saimiri boliviensis boliviensis (Bolivian squirrel monkey) is the source of this 2155-nucleotide non-coding RNA. The record is from RefSeq and is a predicted model, not a curated record. Lineage: Eukaryota; Metazoa; Chordata; Mammalia; Primates; Cebidae.